UACGGAGGGGGCUAGCGUUGUUCGGAAUUACUGGGCGUAAAGCGCACGUAGGCGGACUGGAAAGUCAGGGGUGAAAUCCCGGGGCUCAACCCCGGAACUGCCUUUGAAACUCCCAGUCUUGAGGUCGAGAGAGGUGAGUGGAAUUCCGAGUGUAGAGGUGAAAUUCGUAGAGAUUCGGAGGAACACCAGUGGCGAAGGCGGCUCACUGGCUCGAUACUGACGAUGAGGUGCGAAAGAGUGGGGAGCAAACAGG
Molecule: ribosomal RNA, 253 nt
Filed under: uncultured bacterium
Lineage: Bacteria
Description: partial 16S ribosomal RNA
Rfam family: Bacterial small subunit ribosomal RNA
Source: RNAcentral